GCUGGGUGGCAUAAGUGGUUUGCAAUUGGUUGCUAACCUAAAGGUUGGUGGUUCAAAUCCACCCAGCAGCU
RNAcentral lists this transfer RNA (71 nucleotides) under Loxodonta africana (African savanna elephant). It matches the Rfam family "tRNA". From Rfam's summary of the family: Transfer RNA (tRNA) molecules are approximately 80 nucleotides in length. Their secondary structure includes four short double-helical elements and three loops (D, anti-codon, and T loops). Lineage: Eukaryota; Metazoa; Chordata; Mammalia; Proboscidea; Elephantidae. The record is from Rfam by way of RNAcentral.